Molecule: ribosomal RNA, 500 nt
Filed under: uncultured sulfate-reducing bacterium
Lineage: Bacteria
Description: bacterial SSU rRNA
Rfam family: Bacterial small subunit ribosomal RNA
Source: RNAcentral
GGGCCUGCGUUCCAUUAGCUANCNUUGUAGGGUAAUGGCCUACCAAGGCAACGAUGAGUAGCUGGUCUGAGAGGAUGAUCAGCCACACUGGAACUGAAACACGGUCCAGACUCCUACGGGAGGCAGCAGUGGGGAAUAUUGCGCAAUGGGCGAAAGCCUGACGCAGCAACGCCGUGUGAGGGAUGAAGGCUUUCGGGUCGUAAACCUCUGUCGGAAGGGAAGAACGGGCAUUGGUCUAAUAGGCCUUUGUUUUGACGGUACCUUUAGAGGAAGCACCGGCUAACUCCGUGCCAGCAGCCGCGGUAAUACGGAGGGUGCAAGCGUUAUUCGGAAUUACUGGGCGUAAAGCGCACGUAGGCCGCUUUGUAAGUCAGGGGUGAAAUCCCACGGCUCAACCGUGGAACUGCCCUUGAAACUGCAGAGCUUGAAUCCUGGAGAGGGUGGCGGAAUUCCUGGUGUAGGAGUGAAAUCCGUAGAUAUCAGGAGGAACACCGGUGGCG